UACGGGGGGGGCAAGCGUUGCUCGGAAUUACUGGGCGUAAAGGGCUCGUAGGCGGCCAACUAAGUCGGACGUGAAAUCCCCAGGCUCAACCUGGGAACUGCGUCCGAUACUGGAUGGCUUGAAUUCGGGAGAGGGAUGCAGAAUUCCAGGUGUAGCGGUGAAAUGCGUAGAUAUCUGGAGGAAUACCGGUGGCGAAGGCGGCAUCCUGGACCGACAUUGACGCUGAUGAGCGAAAGCUAGGGGAGCAAACGGG
This 253-nucleotide ribosomal RNA is filed under the name uncultured bacterium. Its description in RNAcentral is "partial 16S ribosomal RNA". It matches the Rfam family "Bacterial small subunit ribosomal RNA", at positions 524 to 776 of the family's 1533-position model. The record is from RNAcentral.